RNAcentral lists this unclassified non-coding RNA (890 nucleotides) under Hevea brasiliensis (rubber tree). Lineage: Eukaryota; Viridiplantae; Streptophyta; Magnoliopsida; Malpighiales; Euphorbiaceae. The record is from RNAcentral.
CGGUGGCGGUGGAUACCAAGGAGGAGAUCGUGGAGGUAGUGGUGGAUACCAAGGAGGAGAUCGCGGAGGUCGCGGCGGCGGUCGUGGUGGAGGAAGUGGUAAGGAAGGUGAUUGGCGUUGCCCUAACCCAAGUUGUGGAAAUUUGAACUUUGCUAGAAGAGUUGAAUGUAACAAAUGUGGUGCACCUUCACCUGCUGGUUCUGAUGAUCGUGGUGGCAGAGGUGGUAGCAGUUAUAACAGAGGUGGAAGUGAUGGCGGCUAUGGAAAUAGUCGAGGGGGAAGAGGUGACAACUAUGAAAGCAGAAAUGCUGGAGGUGGUAGAACUGGUUCUUAUGGUGGUAGUCAGGGAAGAGAUGGUGGUGGUUAUGCCCAAGGUCCUCCUCAUGCUCCUCCAUCUUAUGGGGCUGCUGAUAGCAACUAUCCACCACCUUCUAAUACUUACGGUGGAAACCCCGAUGCAGUUCCCCCGCCUGCGAGUUAUGUUGGUGGACCUGCAUCUUAUCCCCCUUCGUAUGGUGCCCCUGGUGGCUAUGGUGGGGAUACACCAGCUGAUGCUCGUGGGGGUGGACGGGGUGGUCCACCAGGUGGAUAUGAUGGGGGAUAUGGCGGUGGUGCCCGGAAUACAGGAGGUGGUUAUGGUAGUUCUCCAGCUGAGGCUCCGGUAAAGGUCAAGCAAUGCGAUGAGAAUUGUGGAGAUCUCUGUGACAACGCAAGAAUAUAUAUCUCAAAUUUGCCUCCUGAUGUGACCGUCGAAGAACUUAGAGAACUUUUUGGGAGCAUUGGACAAGUUGCAAGAAUCAAGCAAAAACGAGGUUACAAAGACCAGUGGCCUUGGAGCAUAAAGCUAUACACAGACGAUCAAGGAAAUAACAAAGGAGAUGCAGUUCUGU